AUACGGAGGGUGCAAGCGUUAUUCGGAAUCACUGGGCGUAAAGGACGCGUAGGCGGGUUGGCAAGUCAGAUGUGAAAUCCUACAGCUUAACUGUAGAACUGCAUUUGAAACUGCUAACCUAGAGUAUGGGAGGGGGAGAUGGAAUUAGUGGUGUAGGGGUAAAAUCCGUAGAUAUCACUAGGAAUACCGAAAGCGAAGGCGAUCUCCUGGAACAUAACUGACGCUAAGGCGUGAAAGCGUGGGGAGCAAACAGGAGUAGAAACCCCAGUAGUCC
This 274-nucleotide ribosomal RNA is filed under the name uncultured bacterium. Its description in RNAcentral is "partial 16S ribosomal RNA". It matches the Rfam family "Bacterial small subunit ribosomal RNA", at positions 523 to 796 of the family's 1533-position model. The record is from RNAcentral.